CUGCUCGACAUCAACGUUUCUUCCUCUCGCUCUCUCUCCCUUCAUCUCUUACCCAUUUACCUCUCUCUAUCUACUUAUAUCUCCUUCUCUCACCAGCCAGUCGACCCGAUCGUGUUGCCCUCUUUCCUCUCCACCGGCUGUACCGACGUGGUACCGACGCUUCGACCAAUCCCCUUCCUUGUCGCCCCGCGGUCUUUCGUUGUCCGCCGUUCGCUUCUCUCUCUCUUUCACGAGUAGUCUGCCAGCCUGACGUUUCCCCCGCUUCGUACCUACCACUACCAACGCUGCCUUAUUCUACAUUCUACAUCGUUACCGCUACUCAUACAUACAUACAUACACACACACGCACGCUCGCGCGCGCGCCAUCAACGCUGGUACCCCGUGUUUCUAGCGAGGCGCAACGGUGGCGCCGCCAGACAGGGACGCCUCGAAACGUUUUCACCAUCCCGUCUCGCCCCGCUAGCGUCUGAUCCAAGCCCAUGUACCGACGACGACGCCUGAUGCUGCCAUGCUCUGCGGUAUGUACUAACUAUAACUAUAUAUACAUACCCACGCACCGUCCUUGUCGUUCUAUCGAUUCCCUCCCUUCCUCCUGCCGCUCUCGACGAACCUCUUCUCAUCCUACUCGUCAUAUAUCUCUCUCUCGCGCCUUUUCCUAUCUCCGUCCCAUUAUCCUUUCGUCUCUUUCUUUCCCUGCGUCUCGCUGCCAGCCAACUUGCCUGUCUGCUUGCCUGGCCUACCUGACUGCCUGCCUGCCUCGUCUCUACUUUGCUCGUUUACUUACUUGCUCGCAUGCUAGUCCGCCUGCUAGGUUGCUAGCCCGCUCGCUUCGGCCGGCUGUGUGCUUCGUUCAUCCUCUGCGUCGGUAACCUUGGCGAGGAAUAACCCGCCGUUCAAUUCAAGGAAUUAUGACGGCUUCUCCGUUUUCUCUUUUUCUAUUUGCGAACCCCUCUUUUUCGUUCUUUGUCACUAGUUUUCUUCUCCAUCUUCCUCGCUCCCGUAGAGCCGAACGGAGAGCGAAGCCAGUCCUUUUCCUUUGCUUGUUGGCACUCAUUCGUGCUGAUAUUUACGCGCCUAUGGGCCCCAUGCAGCGAGCGACGCCAUUACGUGAGCCUCGGCAAUGAUGUUCGAUGCAUGUGUAUAGUGUACGUAGCCUGCAUGUAUGCACGGAUGUGUAUAAAGCAAGUGUCUACGUCAGACACCGUGUCCUCGAGAUACGAUUAUGAUAGGAAGAUUUUAAAGCUUGCUACAAACGCGCACGUCUACAAUUUGUAAAGCAUGUAAUGAUUUCAUUUUACAGUAUGACGAUUUUAAGGUUCACUUCACUCUCGCCAAAAAUUACGGUAAGAACGAUUACCGAUAAAUAGAUAUAUCGCAUGGUCGAUUCGAUAUUUUCGAUUCGACGAUUCGAGAAGGACAUGUAGCCGCCAUUUUGUUAAUCGGCGUCUUUUAGUUUAUUACGUAACAAGAAUGUUUGUUAAUCUAUUUGAGUGUUGGAUAAAGAAGGUGGUGAAUAGAAAUCUAAGAAUAGCGUGGUAUAUAUUCCAGGUAACUGCAUCGGCGUGAAGCAAUGAUCGAUCGGCUGGAAAUAUCCUCAACGAUAUCGGACAGAAUGAACCCUUGAGUUUCCUCAUGUGUCUCGCGGGCCCUUCAGUUACUUGAAAUCAUCGGCGAGCACAAUUCCACGGAAAUCGUUUGGGUGGAAGAUUGAUCGAGUGCAACACGACGUGUCUAAAUGAACGGGGCGGAGUUUUUGCGAAAGACCGCAUUCCUGCGACGGUCCGUAAUGCGGCGGAAGCACGUGCCACCGCGUGUCUUGAUGCUCGAUUUGGCCCCGAGAUCCCGAGGACGGAGCGCUUCU
This is a long non-coding RNA of Ceratina calcarata, 1861 nucleotides long. RefSeq lists it as uncharacterized. The transcript is spliced from 4 exons. The record is from RefSeq and is a predicted model, not a curated record. NCBI's taxonomy places the organism in Eukaryota, Metazoa, Arthropoda, Insecta, Hymenoptera, Apidae.